GCCAGGUUUUUUUAAAAAAAGGAAAGAAAUCCUCUGAAAGAGGAUCUGGGGUUCCAGCCUAGGGGUUCUGUCAAGCCUCCGUCCCCGGUCUUCUCACGCGCUCACGCGCUACCACACAUAGUGGUCAGAGGGUUAAAAAACCUCAUUCUUUCAAGAAAAUCGCAGGCAAUCGAGGAAAGGAGGCCACCAGCGUUGAUUCGGCCGUCGAUCACAGCGUGAUACUUGGCCGGAGUCACGGCGUUGAUUCGGGUCAAUGCGAGACGAACAGACACGAGUCGAAGGGGCGUGACUCUUGGACUGAUUGCGGCGCGAAGCUUCUGGAAACCCUAGGGUUUCCAGAUUUAGUUUAAGCACUGGGCCUCACUGGUUUGGGUCUGGCUCGGGUAUUCGAGCUUGGGUGUAACCGGGUUUUGGGUAGUAACGGGUCUGCUGGGUUUAAGCUAAAUGGGUCAAUAAAUUGUAAUGGGCUGUAAAUGAAAUUUGGGCUUUGUACAUGGACUAUAAUAAAUAAACAUUUAUUUAUUUAUUUAUUAUUCUUGGUUUUAAAGCCCGGGCAGAAAUGGGCUACUACAAAGUCGAUCCUUGUUUUUUUUAAAAAUGGUUUCAACAAUCAAUGUUGGAGAAUGAAGAAGAAA
Molecule: long non-coding RNA, 635 nt
Organism: Gossypium arboreum
Lineage: Eukaryota; Viridiplantae; Streptophyta; Magnoliopsida; Malvales; Malvaceae
Exons: 2
Source: RefSeq, a predicted model, not a curated record